CCCACUAUCUUCAUCAACAAUGUGUUCCUUCUCAAGGAACACCGCUCACUUAGCUAUAAAGACCUUUUCAUCCUCAGGAUGUUAGAAAUAAUACCCAUAAGUUUCCUUGAGGUAUCCCACAAACUUGCAUCGCUCCAUACUCGAUUCCAACAUAUCGGGGUUGUGUCUUUUAACGUGGGCAGGGCAGUUCCAAAUCUUAAAAACCUUAAGAUCGGGCCUUUUCCAUUUCCAUAUCUCAUAUGGUG
RNAcentral lists this long non-coding RNA (245 nucleotides) under Musa acuminata (dwarf banana). RNAcentral's name for it is "long non-coding RNA (MACU_LNC009261)". Lineage: Eukaryota; Viridiplantae; Streptophyta; Magnoliopsida; Zingiberales; Musaceae. The record is from RNAcentral.